UAAGGAAUCUUCCACAAUGGGGGCAACCCUGAUGGAGCAAUACCGCGUGCAGGAUGAAGCGUUUCGGCGUGUAAACUGCUUUUGUCACCGAAGAUUAUGACUGUAGGUGAAGAAUAAGGACCGGCUAACUACGUGCCAGCAGCCGCGGUAAUACGUAGGGUCCAAGCGUUAUCCGGAAUUACUGGGCGUAAAGCGUCUGUAGGCGGCUUAAUAAGUCGAGUGCGAAAUCUUGCGGCUCAACCGUAUAGACUGUGCUCGAAACUAUUUGGCUAGAGGUAGGUAGAGGCAAGUGGAAUUUCUGGUGUAGGAGUGACAUCCGUAGAUAUCAGAAGGAACACCAAUGGCGAAGGCAGCUUGCUGGGCCUUACCUGACGCUCAGAGACGAAAGCGUGGGGAGCGAACGG
Molecule: ribosomal RNA, 404 nt
Filed under: uncultured organism
Description: bacterial SSU rRNA
Rfam family: Bacterial small subunit ribosomal RNA
Source: RNAcentral